AGAGUUUGAUCCUGGCUCAGAUUGAACGCUGGCGGUAUGCUUAACACAUGCAAGUCGAACGGUAACGGACCGCUGUGAUCCCUUCGGGGUGAACUUGGUGCCGACUAGUGGCGGACGGGUGAGUAAUACUUAGGAAUCUGCCCAGUACUGGGGGACAACACGAGGAAACUCGUGCUAAUACCGCAUACGCCCUAAGGGGGAAAGUGGAGGAUCUUCGGACUUCACGCUAUUGGAUGAGCCUAAGCCGGAUUAGCUUGUUGGUAGGGUAAUGGCCUACCAAGGCGACGAUCCGUAGCUGGUCUGAGAGGACGAUCAGCCACACUGGGACUGACACACGGCCCAUACUCCUACGGGAGGCAGCAGUGGGGAAUAUUGGACAAUGGGGGCAACCCUGAUCCCGCAAUACCGCGUGUGUGAAGAAGGCCUGCGGGUUGUAAAGCACUUUCAGUAGAGAACAAAAUCUUAGGGUCAAUACCCCUCGGGUCUUGACUUAACCUACCGAAUAAGCACCGGCUAACUUCAUGCCUGCCCUCCGCGGUAAUACGGGGGGGUGCAACCUUUUAAUUCGGAAUUAACUGGGCGUCCACGCGCGCCGUUGUCGGGCCUGGGCCAGUUCUUAUGUUGUAAACCCCCCGGGCCUCCCCCCCUGGGGAAAUUCCAUUCCGAACACUGGCCCGACUUAACAAUCAUUGUCAUAUA
This 699-nucleotide ribosomal RNA is filed under the name uncultured bacterium. Its description in RNAcentral is "bacterial SSU rRNA". The stretch from base 2 to 566 matches the Rfam family "Bacterial small subunit ribosomal RNA", at positions 9 to 546 of the family's 1533-position model. The record is from RNAcentral.